This 103-nucleotide microRNA precursor is filed under the name Marmota monax (woodchuck). Lineage: Eukaryota; Metazoa; Chordata; Mammalia; Rodentia; Sciuridae. The record is from RNAcentral.
AGUGGGAUAGCUGGGUCAAAUGGUGGUUCCAUUCCAUGUUUUCUGAGGAAUCUUCAUACUGCUUUCCUUAUUGGCUGCACCAAUUUGUAGUCCCAUCAGCAAU